This 74-nucleotide transfer RNA is filed under the name Paramuricea clavata. It matches the Rfam family "tRNA". From Rfam's summary of the family: Transfer RNA (tRNA) molecules are approximately 80 nucleotides in length. Their secondary structure includes four short double-helical elements and three loops (D, anti-codon, and T loops). Lineage: Eukaryota; Metazoa; Cnidaria; Anthozoa; Malacalcyonacea; Plexauridae. The record is from Rfam by way of RNAcentral.
GACCGCGUAGCUCAGUUGGAAGAGCAUUUGGGCUAGUAUUCCAAAGGUCGUAGGUUCGAAUCCCACCGUGGCCG